RNAcentral lists this ribosomal RNA (253 nucleotides) under uncultured bacterium. Its description in RNAcentral is "partial 16S ribosomal RNA". It matches the Rfam family "Bacterial small subunit ribosomal RNA", at positions 524 to 776 of the family's 1533-position model. The record is from RNAcentral.
UACAAAGGGGGCUAGCGUUGCUCGGAAUCACUGGGCGUAAAGCGCACGUAGGCGGAUUGUUAAGUCAGGGGUGAAAUCCUGGAGCUCAACUCCAGAACUGCCUUUGAUACUGGCGAUCUUGAGUCCGGGAGAGGUGAGUGGAACUCCGAGUGUAGAGGUGAAAUUCGUAGAUAUUCGGAAGAACACCAGUGGCGAAGGCGGCUCACUGGCCCGGUACUGACGCUGAUGUGUGAAAGCGUGGGGAGCAAACAGG